This 217-nucleotide ribosomal RNA is filed under the name uncultured bacterium. Its description in RNAcentral is "partial 16S ribosomal RNA". It matches the Rfam family "Bacterial small subunit ribosomal RNA", at positions 139 to 354 of the family's 1533-position model. The record is from RNAcentral.
CGUAACUUUAAAANGUAAAUAGGUGCUAAUACCGCAUAAGCGCACAGCUUCGCAUGAAGCGGUGUAGAAAAACUCUGGUGGUAUACGAUGGUUCCGCGUCUGAUUAGCUAGUUGGUGGGGUAAUGGCCUACCAAGGCAACGAUCAGUAGCCGGCCUGAGAGGGUGAUCGGCCACAUUGGGACUGAGACACGGCCCAAACUCCUACGGGAGGCAGCAG